This 419-nucleotide ribosomal RNA is filed under the name uncultured bacterium. Its description in RNAcentral is "bacterial SSU rRNA". It matches the Rfam family "Bacterial small subunit ribosomal RNA", at positions 954 to 1372 of the family's 1533-position model. The record is from RNAcentral.
AUGGGAACGCGAAGAACCUUACCUACUCUUGACAUCCAGAGAACUUUCCAGAGAUGGAUUGGUGCCUUCGGGAACGUCUGAGACAGGUGCUGCAUGGCUGUCGUCAGCUCGUGUUGUGAAUGUUGGUUAAGUCCCGCAACGAGCGCAACCCGUUAUCCUUUGUUGCCAGCGGUUCGGCCGGGAACUCAAAGGAGACUGCCAGUGAUAAACUGGAGGAAGGUGGGGAUGACGUCAAGUCAUCAUGGCCCUUACGAGUAGGGCUACACACGUGCUACAAUGGCGCAUACAAAGAGAAGCGACCUCGCGAGAGCAAGCGGACCUCAUAAAGUGCGUCGUAGUCCGGAUUGGAGUCUGCAACUCGACUCCAUGAAGUCGGAAUCGCUAGUAAUCGUAGAUCAGAAUGCUACGGUGAAUACGUU